AAAGCCUGACGCAAGCAACGCCGCGUGAAGGAUGAAGGCUCUCGAGUCGUAAACUUCUGGUCUGGGGGAAAGAUGAUGACGGUACCCCCAAAGCAAGCCCGGCUAAUCCGUGCCAGCAGCCGCGGUAAUACGGAAGGGGCAAGCGUUGUUCGGAAUUAUUGGGCGUAAAGGGCGUGUAGGCGGCUUCGCAGGUCUGUGGUGAAAGCAUACAGCUCAACUGUAUUGAGCCAUGGAAACGGCGGAGCUUGAGGCUGGGAGGGGCUGGUGGAAUUCCCUGUGUAGCGGUGAAAUGCGUAGAGAUGGGGGAGAACACUCGUGGCGAAGGCGGCCAGCUGGACCAGUUCUGACGCUGAGACGCGAAAGCGUGGGGAGCAAACAGGAUUAGAUACCCUGGUAGUCCACGCCGUAAACGAUGGGCACUAGGUGUCGGCGGUUCAUAAUCCGUCGGUGCCGGCGCUAACGCAGUAAGUGCCCCGCCUGGGGAGUACGGUCGCAAGGCUG
Molecule: ribosomal RNA, 501 nt
Filed under: uncultured bacterium
Lineage: Bacteria
Description: bacterial SSU rRNA
Rfam family: Bacterial small subunit ribosomal RNA
Source: RNAcentral